This is a non-coding RNA of Hydra vulgaris (swiftwater hydra), 139 nucleotides long. The record is from RefSeq and is a predicted model, not a curated record. Lineage: Eukaryota; Metazoa; Cnidaria; Hydrozoa; Anthoathecata; Hydridae.
GUGGAGAAACAAAUAAAAAAAAGAAAGCUACUGACAAACUUUGUAGAAAAUUCAGAUGAUAGUGAUGACAACAAUUAUCCACACGAUUCCAAUGAAGAGUUGUCCAAGUUCCCCACUCAUCCAAAAGCGCUCAGCAAAC